UAGGAUUUGGUUUAGGGUUUGGCUAGGGUUCGAUUUAGGAUUUGGAUUAGGGUUUGGAUUAGGGUUUGGCUAGGGUUCGGUUUAGGGUUUGGAUUAGGAUUUGAAUUAGGGUUUAGAAUUUGGUUAUGGUUUGAUUUAGGGUUUGGAUUAGGAUUUGGAUUAGGGUUUGGUUAAAGUUUGAUUUAAGGUUUGGUUUAGGGUUUAGGAUUUGGAUUAGAGUUUAAGGUUGGAUUAGGGUUUGGAUUAGGAUUUAGGGUUUGGUUAGGAUUUGAUUUAGGAUUUGGAUUAGAGUUUGAUUUAAGGUUUGGUUUAGGAUUUAGAAUUUGGAUUAGAGUUUAGGGUUGGAUUAGGAUUUGGAUUAGGGUUUAGAGUUUGGUUAGGGUUUGAUUUAGGAUUUGGAUUAGGGUUUGGACUAGGAUUUAGGAUUUGGUUAGGAUUUGAUUUAAGAUUUGGAUUAGGGUUAAGUUAGGAUUUGAUUUAAGAUUUGGUUUAGGAUUUAGGGUUGGAUUAGGGUUUGGUUUAGGAUUUAGGGUUUGGAAUAGGAUUUAAUUCAUGAUUUAUUUAGGAUUUAACUUAGGAUUUAGGAAUUAUUAGGGUUUAAGAUUUAAUUAGG
This 613-nucleotide long non-coding RNA is filed under the name Physcomitrium patens. RNAcentral's name for it is "long non-coding RNA (PPAT_LNC009047)". The record is from RNAcentral. Lineage: Eukaryota; Viridiplantae; Streptophyta; Bryopsida; Funariales; Funariaceae.